GCAUGUGGUUUAAUUCGAAGCAACGCGAAGAACCUUACCAGGUCUUGACAUCCCUGACAACUCUAGAGAUAGAGCGUUCCCUUCGGACAGGACAGGUGGUGCAUGGUUGUCGUCAGCUCGUGUCGUGAGAUGUUGGGUUAAGUCCCGCAACGAGCGCAACCCUUGAUCUUAGUUGCCAGCAUUUAGUUGGGCACUCUAAGGUGACUGCCGGUGACAAACCGGAGGAAGGUGGGGAUGACGUCAAAUCAUCAUGCCCCUUAUGACCUGGGCUACACACGUGCUACAAUGGAUGGUACAAAGGGCUAAUCCCAUAAAACCAUUCUCAGUUCGGAUUGUAGGCUGCAACUCGCCUACAUGAAGCUGGAAUCGCUAGUAAUCGCGGAUCAGCAUGCCGCGGUGAAUACGUUCCCGGGCCUUGUACACACCGCCCGUCACACCACGAGAGUUUGUAACACCCGAAGUCGGUGGAGUAACC
This 475-nucleotide ribosomal RNA is filed under the name Priestia megaterium. RNAcentral describes it as "bacterial SSU rRNA". It matches the Rfam family "Bacterial small subunit ribosomal RNA", at positions 937 to 1440 of the family's 1533-position model. The record is from RNAcentral. Lineage: Bacteria; Bacillati; Bacillota; Bacilli; Caryophanales; Bacillaceae.